AUCAAUUCUUGUUGUAGGGCCACAUUUGAAAAAAAUGAUAUAGCAGCUAAUUCACUGUUAUAUAUAACGUUAAUUGAACUACUUCUGCCCACCUGAUUUUUCGUGGAAAGCAGUGGGCGUAAUCUUUGAAAAAUAAUCAGGUGUAAUAUUUUAAAAGACAAAUGCUUGAAACAUCCGUGCAACCUAUCGUGUCUGACAUUGCAAAUAGUUAUUCCUAAAUAUGAUUAAGAAAAAGAUCUUACAACUUUCUAGCAAAC
RNAcentral lists this long non-coding RNA (257 nucleotides) under Mytilus galloprovincialis (Mediterranean mussel). Lineage: Eukaryota; Metazoa; Mollusca; Bivalvia; Mytilida; Mytilidae. The record is from RNAcentral.